UUAGUAAUUGUUUUAUAAAUUUGGGAGCUCCAGUGUUGGAUGCAUAUAUGUUUAGGAUUUUGAUAUUUUCCUGUUGGACAAGGCCUUUUAUCCUUAUUCCUCUUUGUCUUUUUAAACUGCUGUUGCAUUAAAGUUUGUUUUGGCUGAUAUGAGCUACCCUUGCUAGCUUUUGGUGUCCAUUUGCAUGAAAUGCCUUUUAUCACCCCUUUACUUUAAGUUUAUGUGAGUCCUUAUGUGUUAGGUGAGUCUCCUGAAGGCAGCAGAUAAUUAGUUGGUGAGUUCUGCAAUUCUGUAUCUUUUAAAUGGAGCAUUUAGGCCAUUAACAUUCAAUGUUAGUAUUGAAAUGUGAGGCACCCUUGCAUUCAUCAUGCUCUUUAUUACCUGCAUACUUUGUUUUUUGUUUUUGUUUUUUAACUUGUAUUUUUGUUUUAUAGGUCCUGUGUGCUUUAUGCUUUAAAGAGAUUCUGUUUUGAUGUGUUUCCAGGAUUUGCUUUAGGAUUUAGAGCUCCUUUUAGCAGAUCUUUUAGUGGUGGGUUGGUAGUGGCGAAUUCUCUCAGUAUUUGUUUGUCUGAUUAAAAACUGUAUCUUUGUUUCAUAUAUGAAGCUUAGUUUCACUGGAUACAAAAUUCUUGAUUGAUAAUCAUUUUGUUUGAGGAGGCUGAAGAUAGGGCCCCAGUCUUUUCUAGCUUGUAGGGUUUCUUCUGAGAAAACUUCUGUUAAUCUGAUAGGUUUUCCUUUAUUGAUUACCUGGUGCUUUUGUCUCACAGUUCUCAUGAUUCUUUUCUUCAUCUUAACUUUAUAUAACCUGAUGUCAGUGUACCUAGGCAAUGAUAUUUUUGCGAUGAAUUUCCCAGGUGUUCCUUUUGCUUCUUGUAUUUGAAUGUCUAGGUUUCUAGCAAGGCAAGGGAUGUUUUCUUUGAUUGUUCCCCUAAAUAUGUUUUUCAAACUUAGAUUUCUCUUCUUCCUCAGGUCAUCAAUUAUUCUUAGGUUUGGUUGUUUAACAUAAGCCGAGACUGUUUGGAGCCUUUCUUCCUUAUUUAUUUAUUUUUUUAGUCUUUGUUGGAUUUUGUUAAUUUGAAGACCUUGUCUUUAAGCUCUGAAUUUCUUUUUUCUACUUGUUCAGUUCUAUUGCUGAGAUAUUCCAGAGCGUUUUGCAUUUCUAUAAGUGUGUUAAUUGUUUUCUGAAGUUUUGAUUUCUUUUUUUAUUUGUGCUGUUUUCUUGAAUGUU
Long non-coding RNA from Cebus imitator (Panamanian white-faced capuchin), 1228 nucleotides. RefSeq lists it as uncharacterized. Lineage: Eukaryota; Metazoa; Chordata; Mammalia; Primates; Cebidae. The record is from RefSeq and is a predicted model, not a curated record. The transcript has 3 exons.